This 776-nucleotide ribosomal RNA is filed under the name Nocardia colli. Its description in RNAcentral is "Nocardia sp. CICC 11023 partial 23S ribosomal RNA". It matches the Rfam family "Bacterial large subunit ribosomal RNA", at positions 1 to 694 of the family's 2925-position model. Lineage: Bacteria; Bacillati; Actinomycetota; Actinomycetes; Mycobacteriales; Nocardiaceae. The record is from RNAcentral.
ACAGUGGACGCGAGCAUCUUUGUUAGUAAGUGUUUAAGAGCGUACGGUGGAUGCCUUGGCACCAGGAGCCGAUGAAGGACGUAGGAGGCUGCGAUAAGCCUCGGGGAGCUGUCAACCGAGCUGAGAUCCGAGGAUUUCCGAAUGGGGAAACCCAGCACGAGUGAUGUCGUGUUACCCGCAUCUGAAUAUAUAGGGUGUGUGGAGGGAACGUGGGGAAGUGAAACAUCUCAGUACCCACAGGAAGAGAAAACAAUAGUGAUUCCGUGAGUAGUGGCGAGCGAAAGCGGAAGAGGCUAAACCAUGCACGUGUGAUACCCGGCAGGGGUUGCGUGUGUGGGGUAGUGGGGCUCACUUUCCUAUAUCUGCCGAUGUAGGCGGGAGUCAGAAACCGUUGUGUUAGUCGAAGUGGUCUGGAACGGCCUGUCGUAGAGGGUGAGAAUCCCGUAGACGAAAACUCAGCGGCUCUUGUAGUGAGUACCCGAGUAGCAGCGGGCCCGUGAAAUCUGCUGUGAAUCUGCCGGGACCACCCGGUAAGCCUGAAUACUCCCUGGUGACCGAUAGCGGACUAGUACCGUGAGGGAAAGGUGAAAAGUACCCCGGGAGGGGAGUGAAAUAGUACCUGAAACCGUACGCUUACAAUCCGUCAAAGCCUGUGCAUCCUUUAGUGGGUGGUGGGUGAUGGCGUGCCUUUUGAAGAAUGAGCCUGCGAGUUAGUGGCAUGUGGCGAGGUUAACCCGUGUGGGGUAGCCGUAGCGAAAGCGAGUCCGAAUAGGGCG